GAGAAGUGACAGAGAGGAAGCUCUUCCAUCCACUGGUUCACUCCCCAAGCACCUGCAGUGUUCAGAGCUUCUCUGAUCCAACGCCAGAAGCCUGAAGAUUCGUCUAGGUCUCCCACGCAGAUGUAUUAGUGAGGAGCUGGAUGGGAA
Ochotona curzoniae (black-lipped pika) is the source of this 147-nucleotide long non-coding RNA. RefSeq lists it as uncharacterized. The transcript has 4 exons. The record is from RefSeq and is a predicted model, not a curated record. NCBI's taxonomy places the organism in Eukaryota, Metazoa, Chordata, Mammalia, Lagomorpha, Ochotonidae.